Molecule: long non-coding RNA, 4979 nt
Filed under: Homo sapiens (human)
Lineage: Eukaryota; Metazoa; Chordata; Mammalia; Primates; Hominidae
Description: non-protein coding lnc-DCTD-65:14
Source: RNAcentral
AGCCUCCUCCAAGGCGGCGGACCAGGCCGGGCCGGAGUUUUCGGGGUUCAGCCCGCGAGCGGGAGGACCGGGGAGGCGAGGGAGGAGGAAGGCGAGAAGGGCCAGAUCGCGGGAGAGCCCAAUCACGGGGCGAGCUGGACCUGGCUGUGAUCAUUUAUAAUCCUUGACUCCUCCGCUCCGCCACUUGUCAAGAUGACAGGGUGGGCAUUUCAGGUCAGCUGAGUCACCCGAGGAGGUGGCAGUGCAAGACACUGCCGGGAAGACGGAUUCCGAGGCAGAAGGGUGUAAUUAAGGAUUUCCACCCCCGGUAGGCGGCCCGUCCUUUGCAGAGCCUCUGAAAAUGACCCGCGCCUUCCUUUCCACAGUGUUCUUUCGUCCGAGACCGAAAAGCGCAAAUGACCUUUGGACAGGGAAGGGAGGCAGUAAACACUCAGACUUCCUUACCAGCCCCUGGUGGGCACUGCAGCAGAACAAUUGUCUGCCCCCCAGGUUCAAGCACCUAGGCCUCCGCCCCGCAUCACCUGGCCAGGGGCGGACCCGGGAGUCCUCCGAAGGCUCCACUCCCCACUUUUACUACUCUUCUUUCCUCUCCAUUCUCCCCUCAGAUUAGCGGCCGGACACUGUCCCUGCCUCGAUUUUGUUUGCUGUGGGAGGGAAAAAAAAAGUUUGCUGCUCCUCCCAAGACACUGGCCACUUUCUACUCACUGAAGUUCCCACCGCAGCGCUGGCUCCCGGCUCCCUAGCUCCCGCCCCCUGUCUGCAGGAAAGCCCUCCCCCGGAGCUUCCGAAACUGCUGGAGGUUCCAGAGUUUUGUAGCUCCGAAUGGGCGACCUGAGCCGAACCGCUCUCUGGCUGGGUGGUCGGCGGGAUCCUUCAGGCUCCUUUCGGGUCCGGGACGGGGCGGCGGCAGAGGUGGGGCGUGCGUGCUUGGGGCUGCCGAGUGAGUGCGGCUCCCUGGUGCGCGCCCGAGCAUCUCCCCGCCCUCUCCUGGGACCAGCAGUCUGCCCGUGGAGGGCUAGGAGCCCGCGACCAGGCCUGCCCCGGCCGUCGCCAACCUGUCCUUGGAAGCGUGGCGGAGACUGGUGCGCUCUCAGCCUCGUCGCGCCAGCCGCCUCGCGCCACCCUCCACUUUCAGCUUCAGAGCAGAGGAUUCCGCCGACCUCCACCUGUACCUGUACUCGGCCGUUAGGAAAUCCACUUGCAUUUUUAACUACCGUGCAGAACCAGAAACAGAUCGAGCACUGGGAGAACAAGGACGACGCCUCCUAGGAAAGCCUGAACCUUUAUGUUAGUUUAUCCAAAGUUUGGGCUAGAAGUGAGGAGAAUCCCUAAACUCGAGGUGGUGUGCCCAGACCCACAGCCCGUGUUCCCGAAGUUGCUAAGUGCCCGAGCGCAGCGCGUUAAGUAGAGAAGUCUUGGUAGUAAGCGAACCCGACCCGGCUCUCGGGGCGCUAGUGACGGAAAGCAGCACGCAUAUCUUUGCGGGAAGAAUCUAGAGUCGCCCUGGGAUAGAUCCAUCUCCUUCUGCCACUGAAUUUCACACUUGAAAAAGAUAAGGUCAUGGGGGCGGAUGAAUGAUAUCCCUCACUCAUUUAGCCAUUCUUAUUAUUAUAUAAAAAAAAGGCUUGUCAAUUAUGAAGGUGUGUCCCAGAUAUUACAUGAAGAUCAUGCAAACUACUUGAAAUUUGAAUCCGGACAUGAUCGUAAGGAAACUCUUUCAUAAAGCACUUUUGUGGCCUAGUUCCCACACACACACAAAAGUAUUAGGUCUUUAAAACUUUUCCAAGUAGUAAGUGAGACUCCCUCUUACUGUCUACGAAUACACAAUAAAGAGAUGAGACACUGCCCCAAUCCUAAAGAGGCCAGAACUGAAGUGCUACAUUGUGUGAGUUAGGGGAUGCUUCUUUUUUCCAGCUCUUUUUUCUAGAAUCCUCAUUACAGCUAACGCUGGUAAUAAAGGUAGGAAAACAAUAGAACUCAUAAAACUUAGAAAUGGUAAUAAAUCUUGGCUCCUGUCUCUAGCCCAGUUCCUUCUUACAUGAGAUUCAAAGUUUUUCAGUAUGCAAUGCUGAACGUUCACACUAUGGUUGCAAAAUAGAAAAAAAUACUCUAGAACUCAUUAAUACGGCCCUGCGCACUCUAUGCCAGGCGUCGCUGGUGGACAAAGCGCGCAGGGGUCCUCCUCUACGUCUGCCUGCGCCUGUAAUCCAGGCAGCUUACGUGUGUUAAAUUUGGGUCUCUCUCUGUCUCUCACACAAAGAAGUUCCAUCAUUUGAGGCCGUUAGGAAAAGCUGAUGUUGUGCAGUGCCAAACUACCACACGCUUCCUCCUUCGGAUGAAUCCCUGGAAAGCAGAGAGGCAGCUCGCUACGUGACCAUCAUGCUUUUUACCUCACUGAGCUGUUGUCAAGAGAGGGCGGGGAUGGCGGGCAGCUCACGUCGUGCCCUCCGCAGCAAUAAAAACUGGAGCGGGAGAAGAAAUGCAAGACAUCGCUGUCUGUUUUGCAAGCCUCUGGCCGCUCUCAGCAAACUCUGCCCGGCGCGGCUGGUGACUUUGCGGUGUGAACGCAGCCGGUCGUGCUCGGGAUAAUGGGACCGAGCUGGCGGCAUCGCCCUCCCGUGGGCCCCUCUUGCCACACAGAUGCGCAGCUCUCCAAAAGGAAAAUGUGGCCCAGCAACCCUCGCCUAGCCCUAGUCCUAGGAAUGCAUGCCUGGGGCCUUUGGAAGCCUCUCAAAGGGCUGGGGGGCGGGGGGGAGGGAUAUAAUGGGCCGAACCUCUGGAUUCAUUUUGGGGAAGAGGAGACAGGUUCUUGCCCCACUACUGAGGCAAGGCCAACAGCACCCUGCCCUGCUGCUCCACCGCCUCCCCGCGGGUCAAGUCUCAGCCGAGUGUCGCUGCCCACCUGAAGGUGACACCUGUCCAUUUUAGUCAGCAUCACAUGCGCCUUCCCUUUCUCCCCUUUGGGGUCUGUCCGUUUUCUCCUCCUGUCCUAAAGAGCCAGCUUGGAACUGAAGGGGCCGGGUAGCAGCUGUUUGUGCCUCUUGCCCGUGCAGACUCGAGGGUCUCCGCAGCCACUUCCUCCUUUAACACGCGAGGCUUUCAGGCGUGCAGAAGGGGACCGCCGGGUCAGGCAGGUAUUAGGCUCUCCAAGGACACUUGUGGACAUCACUGGAGUUUACCUAUUGUUUGGACUUUAUUACAUCUGCUUUAGCAAACGGAGGCAUGAGCGGCCUGUCUGCUGGGUUCAAACCCAGUUGCUGCCCCGGCUGCAACCUCUCCCACUCAAGAGACCCUAGGAACGAUGAGGAACGGGGUAGAAAUGACCAGGGGAGCCAAAUCUCAGGUACCGAGACCUUCCAGCUCACCCCUCAGGCUCAGGAAAGCCAAUAACCCACAUAUGCCCAAAAGGAGCUUAUGUCUCAACUGAGAACAGCAAAUAGGUGAUGGGCCACUUUAGAACAGAGGCUAAAGGCUGGUAGCCACUGAGCAAAACCCAAAUUCUAGGCACCUGAGGUGUUUCCCUUACACAAGUGCCUUCACAGGUAGCAAGCAAUUAAUCUGCAACAGUGAACAACACUAAAACUUAAAUUUUACAUGGAAGUCUCUCAAGUAGACAAAGUUAUUAUUGGGUGGGGUUUUCCCCCCACUGGCAAAAAAAUAACUUAUCCCUUGGCUGUUAGAUUGAGGGAACUAUAAAACAAAUAUUUUAAUUCGAUCACUGACAAAGUCAUAAAAUUCAAUGACUGUUUGUAGAGGAAAACAUGCUUUCAUUAUCUUAAUUAAAGCAAGAUAAGCCUCUCUCAAUGUGCAUGCAUUUUGGAGCCACUGAAUGGACUGGUGAUGAGACGAAGCAACCUUUAAUUGGGACCAUGCUUCUCCAGUACAUUCGUUUGUAUUCCAUGGUGUAAACCGGGCCUUACGCGUGGCUCCGACCUUCGGUGGAAAUGCAUUUGCGUAGCACCACCCAGGGGCUCCCUUGCUUUGGCUAGAGCCUCAUAAAAGACCCCAGGUUUUGCGAAGGAUUUUGAACACCAGCGUCUUUUAACAUGUGGAACUUUCGGUUUUGGUUUAGCUCUGUGAACGUAUUUAAAACUUGCUACAUUAUUCCACAGUGAAAGUUGGAACCUUUUUAAGAGUUAUCAUAGAGUGCCUUUUAACAUCUGUCAUAUUUUCUAUAAACAACUUUUCAGUGAGAAGCGUAUAUAGUGUACUCGAGGUAGGCAUUAGCUGCUGGCAAGGUUUAUGAUACAAUAGUGACACUACAGGACAAUUUUUUAGUCAAACAACACCCGUUAGAUAUUUCAGGGUCCAGCUUAUAUGUUAACUUGUAAAUAUAGGUUAAAAAUAUAGGUAUCAAGUGACUAAAUUCAGUAUCAGACAAAUUGAACAUCUUUUUAUUUCCCAGAAGUGCCCUACUCUUUCUCCUCCCUUUGGUGACCUCUUAGUCUGGAAUGCUCUGCAUCCGGGGCCCCUGGAACACAUAGUUUUUAAAGUACCUAUUAGUGAUACUCUCCUCCCGUUGGCAGUGCUUCCACUGUGUUUUCUGCAUGUAAUAAAGGAUGGCACUGUUUUUUGCAUAGGUCUUUCCUAAUAGCUGAGCACUCUUGGAGUGUAGGGGCUCAACCUUAUGCCUCUUUGGACACACAAGCCUAGCCCAUGGGCUGGCAUAUAGGAGCUGCUCAAUAAAUGUUUGUUGAACGAAUGAGUGGAUACACGAAUAAAAUAUUUUCAUUGUCUUUAGCCCCUCUGACUUUCUUUUUUAAACAGGGGUAUGUCAUAAAUAAAAUUUACCUUGAAAAUGCAUUUAAGUACACUGUUCUACUUCUCUGACCAUGAAGUUUUUAAUGGGACAUCGUUUUAAAAUUCUGGUCAUUACAACGAACCACUUUUGACCUUGGUUGACUUUUCUCAGAAUCAUAAUGCGAAGUAAAGACAAAAACAAUGAGAAAAGGCAAAGAGAUCAAAUUUUGGUUUUCUCU